UGAGAUGCAGCGCUGGCAUGAAACAGUUGCAGGGAGAGCUCCAAGCCCAGCACCAGCUGAAGAAGCAAGUGACAUUUAAAAUGCCUGAUGUAAGCCCCGAGACGAGAGGAUGUCCAGCAGAGGAGGAGCUGUGGCCUUCCAAAUGCAGUCGUCUACCAUUUCACCUUGCUGAUGGGGACUCAAUUCUCAGUCAUCUAAAUGCUAUUCGACGAGCAAGGUUACCACCGCGAAGGCCUGACUUCCUUCUGGAAUCUCUAGAAAGCAAGGAACUGCUGGGACCUCCUUUUACAAGGUAGAAAAUCUGUUUUAAAAAGUAAAGAAAAAGAGAGUGGCUUACAGUGGGCCUUGUGCUAUGCUUAUCCCCUCAAAUCCCCUCACCUUCAUAACGCAGAACAUUUAGUUCUGCAAGCAAAUAGCAACCAAGGGCUUUGUUUUGUUAGUGAGAGGAUUUGAGGAAAAGAUAGGGCACAUGACUUAUUUCCAAAAUUAAUUAAAAAGUUUCCUUUUCUGUCAGUCUUGCCAUCAGGAUUUGAGGAAAAGAUAGGGCACAUGACUUAUUUCCAAAAUUAAUUAAAAAGUUUCCUCUGUCAAUCUUGCCAUAUAAACUCAGAAGUUUGAGUUGUGCAGGAUGCUUUUGGCUCAUAGAUCACUUGUUCCACAACAGGUUCAGGUCUGGAUUUAACUAAUGUGCUGGGGAAUUGUUAGCGAUUCUGGUAGUGCAGAGCCAGGACCAAACAUCUGUCCAUUUCCUGUCAAAACCUAGCUGAGAUCGCUGCUUCUGCUCCCCUCUUUCUCUUGUCCCCAAACCAAAAUAAGGCAGGAUUUUAUUAAUGGGUAGAAUUCACAGCCCUAAAGAAAUUGUUUCAGCCUGGAUUAACGUGGAGGAUUUGGAGCAGGGCAGGUAGGAGUAAUGGAAACCAUAAUUGUUUUGCUGCUUUUUUAUUUUUUUUAAACCACUGUGGUUGGAGCAGGGCAGGUAGGAGUAAUGGAAACCAUAACUGUUUUGCUGCUUUUUUAUUUUUUUUUAAACCACUGUGGUGUUUUUCUAAUUUUUUUUUGUUCUUUUUUAAUUGGGGUUUCCCCUGCUUAGUAAAGCAGCUCACUGGAUAUCUGUAUGCAAGGGAAUAACGACUUUUUUUUUUUUUUUUUUAAUUGGGGUUUCCCUUGCUUAGUAAA
This 1176-nucleotide long non-coding RNA is filed under the name Calidris pugnax (ruff). RNAcentral's name for it is "lncRNA (ENSCPUG00000010004.1)". Lineage: Eukaryota; Metazoa; Chordata; Aves; Charadriiformes; Scolopacidae. The record is from RNAcentral.